AGAGUAAUUUUAAUAAUAGAAAACAAUGAGGAAAAAUUAGGCUACCAAGUGGUGGAUCCCAAAUAUGAAUGAAUUUUACUCUUCUUCAUACUUUUCUAUUAUGUUCCAUAAUGUUCACAAUGGACUCAUAUUAAUUCCGUACUCAGAAAAAUAUACUUCAUUAUUGUUUGUUUGUUGUUUUCUUUUGGUUUGGUUUGGAGCAAGAUCAGCUGGUGUGUUCAGCAGUCAAGCCCCACUUUGGGAGACUCAGUGCCUGAGCCCAGGUCAGAAAAACAAUAUGCAGGUAAUGGAUGUUCCUCACCCUAAGGAGCUGGAUCUCAGAGACAGAAACUAUGAAUGGGUCUCCUGGGAAAAGAGUGUUUGUGUUCUUUGCAAGUUAAGCACCUCACCAAUGGAUCAACUCACUAGGUCACUGAUUACCCUCAAGAUGCUGAUCAAAGGCCCAACAACCACACUGCCCGCCAGCAGCAAAGGCAAAAACCACUGAAUGAAGAAUUUGAUAAAGACCACACGUCUUAUGCCAUCUGGGAACUUCAUACUGACUCAGGUUUCUAGAACUAAUCUGUAAUUUGCUUGUGGAAAGGCUGGAUGGAUUGAAUUGUAUACAUUUUACUACAGAGGGUAGUAAGAACUCUCUUGGUUGAGAAAAAUAAAAGGAAAUAUCUUUC
Molecule: long non-coding RNA, 668 nt
Organism: Orcinus orca (killer whale)
Lineage: Eukaryota; Metazoa; Chordata; Mammalia; Artiodactyla; Delphinidae
Exons: 2
Source: RefSeq, a predicted model, not a curated record